Homo sapiens (human) is the source of this 943-nucleotide long non-coding RNA. Ensembl annotates it as long intergenic non-protein coding RNA 1749. The record is from Ensembl. NCBI's taxonomy places the organism in Eukaryota, Metazoa, Chordata, Mammalia, Primates, Hominidae.
ACAUGAUAGGGGAGCUGGAGGAACCUGCCGUCUCCGCCAUCGAGCGCCCCUCCGAGCUGGGGUUGGACGCUGCCAGUUUGCACAGCAGCAGGUUGGAUCUAUGAACACGAGACACAGAAACACCAGCUGGAGGAGCCCAGGAGGCCCAGCAGGUGAGGUUAUCCACAGAAUAGGCACGCCGCCCUAGUCCAUGGAUCACUGAGUGCCCAGACCAGGGCUUCAGGGGGUUCCAGCCGAGGCUUUGUGAACCGGAUCCUGGGUCACUGAGUAACCAGACUGGUCUCAGGAGGUUCCAGCUGAGGCUUUGUGAACCAGAUCCUGGGUCACUGAGUGCCCGGACCAGGGGUUCAGGAGGUUCCGGCCGAGGCUUUAUGAACCGGAUCCUCCUCUUUGCGUUUCAAACAGCGGGAACCAUCUUAGUCCAUGGGCCACUGAGUGCCUGGACCAGGGGUUCAGGAGGUUCCGGACGAGGCUUUAUGAACCGGAUCCUCCUCUUUGCAUUUCAAACAGUGGGAACCAUCUUAGUCCAUGGGCCACUGAGUGCCCGGACCAGGGCUUCAGGGGGUUCCAGCCGAGGCUUUGUGAACCAGAUCCUGGGUCAUUGAGUGCCCGGACCAGGGGUUCAGGAGGUUCUGGCCGAGGCUUUAUGAACCGGAUCCUCCUCUUUGCGUUUCAAACAGCGGGAACCAUCGUAGUCCAUGGGCCACUGAGUGCCCGGACCAGGGCCCCGGGGCUUCCUGACAGCAGGAACAACAGGAAUCAUUCAAACCCUGGAGCCCAGAGGGCAGGACGGGAGCGGCCUUUUGUCCCCCGCGGGCAGGCCAGGGAGGUGGACAGGCCGGGAGCCUGAAGCCUGAGCAGCUGGAGGCUCGCUCAUUCUCCCGUGGUCACUGUGUUCCCGGAGCCCCAACAGAGGGCCAAUUGUCCCACGGGGCGGUGCCUG